UAAUGGUUUCUUGAACUCCUAAGAGCUAAAAACUCUUUACCUGAAAUUAUCCAAGCAACAAAUUUAUACAUUAUAAAUUGUGUAAACAAAUUUUUAUUCAUGCGAAAAUAUGGCUCAAAUUUUUAAUCUGUUCAUUAUUCUUUCUCUUUUUCUAGUGGUAACCAACGGAAAAGUUGGUUGCGAUAGACACGGUGAUUGUCCAAGAUCUAUCUGUGUCUAUCCUUGGGUUGUGAGGUGCUUUAAUUGUGUUUGUGAUUGCGAAUAUGGAAAGCCCCCUACAAGGGGAAAUGGGGGAAUUUGGUCAAGAAAAUUUUCCACUAAAAAAUUGAAUUCGAGUUCUUGCGAACGAUCUAUCUUUUAGUGAAGCCCAAAAAUGUAUUAUUAUAUUAUACAAUUAUACCUUCAUUCAAUAAUUAAAACAACAAUGUCAUAACAUGAGUUUUUUUU
Trifolium pratense (red clover) is the source of this 447-nucleotide long non-coding RNA. RefSeq lists it as uncharacterized. NCBI's taxonomy places the organism in Eukaryota, Viridiplantae, Streptophyta, Magnoliopsida, Fabales, Fabaceae. The transcript has 2 exons. The record is from RefSeq and is a predicted model, not a curated record.